UAUAUAUUAUUUUAUAUAUAUAUUGUGUGUGUGUGUGUGUGUGUGUGUGUGUGUGUAUACAUUUUCCCUUUUCAUCAUCAAAAGCAAAACUCAGGCCAGGGGAAAUGGAUCCAAGUGGGGAGGGGAGACAUGGAUAAAGCAUGCUCUCUAAGCGUCAGGCAGCCUCGGUGAUAUCCCUCACCAAUCCUGAAGCCCCUGAAACAGGGAGAACAAAGCAGUGGGCUUGCCCAGCAGCUGUCCCUUGCAGAAGCCCUGCUGGGCCUACCCAGCUCCACCUCCUCCUGGUGGGCAGUUACUCUGGGCUUGCAGGAAAUGCCUUAAUUAAAAUGCUGGCCACACAGACAACUUAGCAGGCUGUGCGUCUGCAGCAGCAGGAAAUCCUCACAAUCCCCAGGCUCCCAGGGAUCCUAAGGAACCCAGUCAAGAUGGUGGAAAGACCUAAGUGGCAAACUUAGGCCACUGGGCCCUUCCUGGUGGUGUAGAUAGCUAAGGAUAGCAUCAUAGACUCUUCAAAUUCCACAGAUUCCUGAGUUGAAAGAAACACAACUAUGCCAAAUGGCUCUGAACAUUUUGAGAAGUAAAACACUUUGGGAGGUAAAUGACCUCUAACAAACUCAAGAAGCAGUCACAUGCAUUCUAACUUUUGCAGGCAGUUCACAGGCUCCAAGUUAUGAUCUCGUCUAGGGGUUGGGAAACUACAGCCUGAGGACCAAAUCUGGCCCCCCAUCUGUUUUUGUAAAUGAAGUUUUACCGGAACACAGCCAUGCCCAUUCAUUUACAGUAUGGUCUAUGGCUGCUUUCGGACGACAAGGGCAGAACUGAAUAGUUGUGACAGAGACCGUUUGGCCUGCAGAACCUAAAAUAUUUACUGUCUAACCCAGUAUGGAAAAAAAUUUUUUUUUACUGGAUCUAAUUAUUCCCUGAUCUGGAUCAGCUCCUCAUUUCACAGAUGAAGAAACUCAGGCCCAGAUGGGUUAAGAACUUGUAGCGUAGCAGGACCAAGAACUGAACCCAAACUCCUGACUCCUAGCCCAGUGCUCUUCAACACUGUCUGGAUUUGAAUGAAGAUCCUUCCAUCAUCACCAUCUCAAUCCAGCAAGCAUUUCUGUGAUGUACCACCAUGCCACUCUCGCCACUGUCUGGGAGACACCUGAUUGCUAGAUGCCUUCAUACCUGAAGGGUUUGCUGUCAGGGUCAGUGUCCUUGAACCCCAUCUCUUCAAGCUUACAGCGUCGGUACAAUUCAUAGUGGCGGGUGUGAGUCUGCUCUCGCAAGUCCUCCAUGUUCACGCGGAUCAGCAUCUCUCGAAGUUUCACAAAAUCGCAAUGAUUUUCAUUCUCAACUACAAGAGAGGGGGGAAAUGGCGGAAGUGGGAUUAGCAAUGAUGUCACUGAAAUAUCUGCAGUGAUGCUUCCAAGAUGUUAUUACCAUCACUCCUGAAAUCUCUGGGGUCUCAAGACCAUCUGAAGAUCCUUUACUGGAUUCACCUUACAUUCCUGACGAAGACAAGAUUUCUGACAACAUUGACCAUAAUACUGAUGACAACGCUGACUGCUGAGUGCCUACUCAGCACAGAGCACAGAGGGAGGAGCUUGAAAACAAAUAUUGUCUUUACCCUUCAUAAUAACUCUGCCAACUAGAUGUCAUGACUCUUGCUUUGCAGACGCAGGAGCUUGGUGAGCAAGCUGACCUCCCAAAGAGAGGUAGCAGGGUCUAGAUUCAAAUGCCAGAACAUCUGGCCCAAAGCCAGAUGUAUUUGUACCACUCCAUGCUGUCUAUAACUGUGCAGGGCCACUUUUACAUACCACUUCAUUUAAUUUUAUCAACAACACUAGGAAGAAAGGAGUUUUCUUAUUGUAGAGAAAUUAGUAAGAGUAAGAAAAAUUGUAUUUUUCCCAGGGAUCUCAAAGGUACUGUUUCUUCUCACAGCUUUAUUGCCUUUAUUCAAAACAGAGGAAAAGGAGGUCUGAUACAUCUUAAACCAGCGAAGAACUUUCUUUAGCCAUCCUGCUUAAUCCAUAGCACUGGAUGUCCUCCUUCAGAACAUAAGAGUAGGUCAUAGAGUCCUUGUCAUUCAAAGUGACACACGUGACAAGCUUUCAGGUUAGACUGUGGCCAUGUCCCACAGUGCCAAAUAUAGAUCAAAUAUUCUCCUAAGUCUCAGAUUUACUAAGAUAACAUUUUAUUAGAAGACAUUUUUUGCAUAGUUGAUGGAGAAAAAAGUACCCUCUUGUUUGCAAGAAACUUUUUGCUGCUUUUUAAUACUUGGCUGAUGAAACGAGCUCCAACUCCUAGGGAAGAACUAUUUUUCAAUCAGGACUUUAUAUUAAUUCCCUACACAACCCAGCAUCCUUGAGGGGUUACCUCAAGGGCUUGGCAGCCAUGUCUCUCCAUUGUCUACCUAGCUGAUUACUUUUUCUUUCUUCCUCACCUCCACGAUUGUCACAUGUGGAGCCCCACCACUCCCUCCCACUGCCAGCCCACUGUUGAGGGCCUCCCUAAACAAGACGGAAAAUGAACAAACACGGCCAUUCACAUAGGGGCUAAAUAUGAAGACUCCAUCUCCCAUGCUGUGCACAUACCCUGCACCACACCCCAGGGGUACUGCCUGGCCUUUGCCAUCUUGUUGCCAAUCUUCACCUCUUCGGUGCUGCCAACCACUGCAAAUGGGAGAUGGACCUGCCAAGCAAAAGGACAGAGAAUAGUUACUUUCCCCUGCUCUGACAGACUGGUUUCCACCAGUCUCUAUCUUCUCCCUCCUUCUGCAGGCCUCUACUUGGUGACAAGGGAAAAGCAGGCUGCAGUUUGGUGGGUGGAUGUCACGUAUCCCACCCCCCUUAUAACCAAACACUGAGUAUGAGACACGAGCUAGAUUCAAGGGAAAAGUGUAUGAGUCUUUGCAACUAUAAAGUAAGCUUAAGACUUGUGCUAGCCGAUGCAGUAGCCACUAACUAUAUGUGACUGUUGAGCACCUGAAAUACAGCUUGUAGGAACAAGAAAUUGAAUAUCUAACUUUUAAUUAGUUUACAUCUAAAUUUAAAAUGGAAGCAACGUAAAAUAUUUUUCAAUUAAAUGCAACUUUAUUGUUUUGGCAAAACUGCAUUUCACUUUGCUUCAAACUCAAAUCUUCUGAAAAAGACCAAGGUAGAUGGCAAGGUAGACACAAAGAUUAAAGAUAAAGUAUCUUUUUGGCACUUAUUUCAUAUUGAAAAUCUUUAAGGUAUGUUAGGAGAAACCUGUAUGUAAAUUUAACUUUUUAGCUGUGAAUUUUACAAAAUGUAAAUACAGAUAAAAUAUUUUUGGUGAAAAUUCAGUCCACGAUGAGAUAUGCUGUCAUUGUAAAAUAUACACUGGAUCUCAAAGACCUACAUUAAAAUAUCUUUUUUUUUUUUUUUGAGAUGGAGUCUCGCUCUGUUGCCCAGGCUGGAGUGCAGUGGCGCGAUCUCGGCUCACUGCAAGCUCUGCCCUCCGGGUUCACGCCAUUCUCCUGCCUCAGCGUCCCAAAUAGCUGGGACUACAGGCACCGGCCACCAUGCCCAGCUAAUUUUUGUAUUUUUAGUAGAAACGGGGUUUCACCGUGUUAGCCAGGAUGGUCUCGAUCUCCUGACCUUGUGAUCCGCCCGCCUUGGCCUCCGAAAGUGCUGGGAUUACUCCGAAAGUGCUGGCGUGAGUCACCGUGCCCAGCCUAAAAUAUCUAAUAAUUUUUAUAUUGAAUACAUGUUGAAAUUAUAUUUUGCAACAUAUUGGGUUAAGUCCUUAAAAUUAAUUUCACAUUUCUUUUUACUUUUUUAAGGUAGCUACUAGAAAAUUUUAAAAUACUUGUGUGUCUCACAUUAUAGUUCUAUUUGAACAACACUGCUUUAGACAGUUGACUAUUGCACAAAUUUCUAAGUCCGAAACACACUUUAGCCCAAAUUACUGGCUCAAGCUAUGCACCCAGAUUUAUCUGAAGUAGAGAUGGUGUCCAAGACAACUGACUCUUUCACAUUGGUUUAUUUGGUAGUUAUCACUGCAUUCUGAGUGAGGGAGGAAAUAAUAAUCCUAUCUUUUUUCUAUUAGCAUGUAAGAAUAAGAUUUGAAAUAGCUGCUCCAAGAAUUAUUAUUUAGAGUUCCUUGAUCCAGUGUUCUUCCACCAUAGAUACACUGAGAAAGAAGAUAAAGUUUUCAAGCCAAUUCCUCUCCUACAAAGAACUUGGCAUAAUCAUUGGCUCAGAUUGCCCAAGUAGCAUUUUGUUGGACGCUCAAGAUAUUGAAAUGUUCUAGUUCAUCUCACACCCUAAGAAGGAAAGAAAGCACAUUAUCUUUCUCAAACAAGUCUGAGUUUCAGACCUGAACCCUAUUGUUUCCCCUGAAGUUGAGGAGCAACAGGACCUUUCUGGUCAAUAUUUUGGUGUAAUGACCAAGGAAAUUUCUCCACUCAAAUGUAACAAAAGCAACUGCCAGUGGAAUCUGUUUUCCUCAGACAUUACGUGGAAUUUGAUCAGCAAGAAUAGUUUGUAAUGAAGAGCCUAAAAGAAAAUUUCUUUAAAGAGCAGGAUUAAUUUGGAAUGUCAGAGAUUCAGUUCUAUUAAUCUGAUAAAGAGAGAAAGAGAGCAAAAAUUCUUGGGUAUUUUAUUUCCAAUAAGUUUAACAAAGAUAUAGUUCCAUGACUAGAAAAUAAUGAAAAAUUAUCUAGAAGGAUAGGAAUAUAAAGAAAAAUUACAUAGCAGUCAUUCAUGAUACUUCCUGAAUCCCACACUGACAUCCCAAAUUACAGUUCUACAGCAGAAUAAAGGAGUGCCAUCUCAGUUUGAGAUUUUGACCUUCCUAUAAAAAAGUACAGACCUCCUGCAGUAUCCACAGGGUACCGGUUCCAGGACUGUCCAUGGACACUGAAAUCUGCAGGUGCUCAAAUCUCUGAUAUAAAAUGGUAUAGUAUUUACAAAUAACCUAUGCACAUCCUCCUGUAUACUUUAAAUCAUCUCUAAAUUACUUAUAAUAUCUAAGACAAUGUAAACACUAUAUAAAUAGUUAUUAUACUCUAUUUAAAAAAAUUUUUUUUGUAGAAUUUAUUUUUUAUUUUCUUGCUAUGUUGACCAGGCUGGUCUUGAGCCCCUGGCCUCAAGUGAUCCUCCCUCCUCGGCCUUCCAAAGUGCUGGGAUUACAGGUAUGAGCCACUGUGCCUGGCCAUAUAUAUAUAUAUAUGUGUAUAUAUAUAUAUAUAUAUAUAUGUGUAUAUAUAUAUAUAUGUGUAUAUAUAUAUAUGUGUGUGUAUAUAUAUGCUAUAUAUAUAUUUUAGCAUAUAUAAUAUAUAUGCUAUAUAUAUUAUAAAAACAAUAAUACAAAAUAUAUAUAUAUGCUAUAUAUAUACACAUAUAUAUAUAUAUUUUGUAUUAUUGUUUUUAUUGUUGCAUUUUUUUUUUCCAAAUAUCUUUGGUCCAUGGUUGGUGAAAUCCAUGGAUGCCGAGGCUGAUGGUACACUGCUCUGCUCGGGCGGCAGUACACAGGGUGAGAGUGUAGCCUGACAGCCAAAGCCUGGGUUCCAAUUCUACCUCCACUACCCACAGCCAUGCAAUCUUAGGUGCUGUGCUGCAGUCUCCUCAUAUAUGAGGGAGGAAUAAUAACAGCACCUACCUAUGCAACUGUUGUGAGGAUUAAAUGGAAAGUCUUGAACAGUUCCUGGUGCAUAGUAAAUGCUCCAGAAAUGUGAAAAAUGUCAGGUGCUAUUAUUAUUAUGUAGCUCUCAAUACCCACAACCAGAGAAUUUUAGAGGUGGAAGAGAUCUUGCUUAUUAUACGUUCAAUCCUGCUUAAGAAUUCCUGCUACAGUAUCUCUUCCAAGUGGACUGAAACAGGGUCUGUUAUCUACAAACCACUGGCGAUGGGAACUCACUACUUCCCAAGAAGUAAGGUGUAUCUUCCAUCUCAGUGGCUCUACUAGUUAAACACUCACUUCGUAAUGGGACCAAAACCCCUUGGUGAUCUUUUGUCCAUUCAUUCUUUUGCACAAGUCUAGCCAUUUUCCCUUGUGGCAACCUUCCUUUCACACCCCAUCAUGCCUAUUUCCUGGGAAGAAUCUGCUUUCCAGAUUCUUCCAACAAUUCUAGAGCCUUUACUACUUUGAAUUCCAACAACCAUCACUGGGCCUCCACUAUAUGCAAAGCAUGUGGCUUUCAUGGAUGUUAUGCAUUCCCAAAGGGAAAAAAAGAUGUGCAGAGUCAUUGCAGCUCACAGCUGAGCUAUGGGCUGUGAGACACACAAAAGAGUAGUGAAACAGACUUGAGCAUCAACCGGCAGGAUGGAGACUCACCAGGAGGGAUUACAUCACAAUCACACAGGGAACCACUGUCACUUUAAUCAUUUAUCACCUGACUAGUUCCUCUCUGUGAUGUGGAAAUUGUAUCCUCAACUGCCAGUUUACCUAAUGAUUAGAAAAGUAUAGGGAAAAUAGAAAGGAGGGAAGGGCAGGAUCCAAUCACCAAAGCAAAAUUGGGACAAGCUAAUGUAUUUCUGCCAAGAUUGGUAGAAACAAGCACAGAUCUAUUUCCUUUGAGCUGCUUUUUAUGAAAUGGUACUGGGCUGGCAUUUCCUUCUCACAAGAUUUGCUGUAGAAAUCGUAACUGUUAGAGUGGGAAGGAAAUUUGAGAUCAUCUUGUCUAAAGCUCCCAUUUGACAGAUGGAGAAACGGAGGAGCAGACUGGUUAAAUGACUUGAAGUGGUGGCAAAGCUGGACUACAGCUGAAGUCAUCAGGUUCCUAGUCAGUCCAGUGCUCCAGCCACUCUACAAUGCUGCUACUAAGACAGGCGUUCAUAAAAAUCACUUGUUCCCAUUUGACUUGAGGACUUACACUCAUUGUUGCGUUAAUCUCUGCCACCGUUUCUUCAUCAGUGGGAAACUGAUAUAUCUGGACCCCAUUGCUGACCAGUUCACUCAUGAUCUUACUCUUGAAUUUGUGCAGUUCAUUCUUGGCAAUGGUGUCAGCUUUUGCAAUUAUUGGAAUGAUGUUCACCUGUAAAACAGACACGUCCAUUUUUACACAAUUCCAACAUAAGAAAAAUAGACAAGUGAAUAAAACAUAGCAAACAAAUAAAAAUUGCAAAACCUUACUGUAAAAAAUAAAGAUGUUUCCUACUUAUAUCAAAA
Molecule: long non-coding RNA, 7122 nt
Organism: Homo sapiens (human)
Lineage: Eukaryota; Metazoa; Chordata; Mammalia; Primates; Hominidae
Exons: 2
Source: RefSeq, a predicted model, not a curated record